AUAAGGAGCUUGCUCCUUUGACGUUAGCGGCGGACGGGUGAGUAACACGUGGGUAACCUACCUAUAAGACUGGGAUAACUUCGGGAAACCGGAGCUAAUACCGGAUAACAUUUGGAACCGCAUGGUUCUAAAGUGAAAGAUGGUUUUGCUAUCACUUAUAGAUGGACCCGCGCCGUAUUAGCUAGUUGGUAAGGUAACGGCUUACCAAGGCGACGAUACGUAGCCGACCUGAGAGGGUGAUCGGCCACACUGGAACUGAGACACGGUCCAGACUCCUACGGGAGGCAGCAGUAGGGAAUCUUCCGCAAUGGGCGAAAGCCUGACGGAGCAACGCCGCGUGAGUGAUGAAGGGUUUCGGCUCGUAAAACUCUGUUAUUAGGGAAGAACAAAUGUGUAAGUAACUGUGCACGUCUUGACGGUACCUAAUCAGAAAGCCACGGCUAACUACGUGCCAGCAGCCGCGGUAAUACGUAGGUGGCAAGCGUUAUCCGGAAUUAUUGGGCGUAAAGCGCGCGUAGGCGGUUUCUUAAGUCUGAUGUGAAAGCCCACGGCUCAACCGUGGAGGGUCAUUGGAAACUGGGAAACUUGAGUGCAGAAGAGGAAAGUGGAAUUCCAUGUGUAGCGGUGAAAUGCGCAGAGAUAUGGAGGAACACCAGUGGCGAAGGCGACUUUCUGGUCUGUAACUGACGCUGAUGUGCGAAAGCGUGGGGAUCAAACAGGAUUAGAUACCCUGGUAGUCCACGCCGUAAACGAUGAGUGCUAAGUGUUAGGGGGUUUCCGCCCCUUAGUGCUGCAGCUAACGCAUUAAGCACUCCGCCUGGGGAGUACGACCGCAAGG
RNAcentral lists this ribosomal RNA (838 nucleotides) under Staphylococcus saprophyticus. Its description in RNAcentral is "bacterial SSU rRNA". It matches the Rfam family "Bacterial small subunit ribosomal RNA", at positions 71 to 893 of the family's 1533-position model. The record is from RNAcentral. Lineage: Bacteria; Bacillati; Bacillota; Bacilli; Caryophanales; Staphylococcaceae.